GUGCUCACUUCAGCAGCACGCAUGCUGAAACUGGAACCACACAGAGAAGGUUAGCCCAGCCCCUACCUGAGGAUGGCCUGCAAAUUCGUAUCAUUUAUUGACUGCUU
Molecule: small nuclear RNA, 107 nt
Organism: Artibeus jamaicensis (Jamaican fruit-eating bat)
Lineage: Eukaryota; Metazoa; Chordata; Mammalia; Chiroptera; Phyllostomidae
Source: RefSeq, a predicted model, not a curated record